This 841-nucleotide ribosomal RNA is filed under the name uncultured bacterium. RNAcentral's name for it is "bacterial SSU rRNA". It matches the Rfam family "Bacterial small subunit ribosomal RNA", at positions 9 to 896 of the family's 1533-position model. The record is from RNAcentral.
GAGUUUGAUCAUGGCUCAGAACGAACGCCGGCGGCAGGCCUAACACAUGCAAGUCGAACGCCGUAGCAAUACGGAGUGGCAGACGGGUGCGUAACGCGUGGGAACAUGCCCUUUGGUUCGGAAUAACUCAGGGAAACUUGAGCUAAUACCGGAUAAGCCCGAGAGGGGAAAGAUUUAUCGCCGAAGGAUUGGCCCGCGUCUGAUUAGCUAGUUGGUGAGGUAAUGGCUCACCAAGGCGACGAUCAGUAGCUGGUCUGAGAGGAUGAUCAGCCACACUGGGACUGAGACACGGCCCAGACUCCUACGGGAGGCAGCAGUGGGGAAUAUUGGACAAUGGGCGCAAGCCUGAUCCAGCCAUGCCGCGUGAGUGAUGAAGGCCUUAGGGUUGUAAAGCUCUUUUACCCGGGAAGAUAAUGACUGUACCGGGAGAAUAAGCCCCGGCUAACUUCGUGCCAGCAGCCGCGGUAAUACGAAGGGGGCUAGCGUUGUUCGGAAUCACUGGGCGUAAAGCGCUCGUAGGCGGAUCUUUAAGUCAGAGGUGAAAUCCCAAGGCUCAACCUUGGAACUGCCUUUGAUACUGGGGAUCUCGAGUCCGGGAGAGGUGAGUGGAACUGCGAGUGUAGAGGUGAAAUUCGUAGAUAUUCGCAAGAACACCAGUGGCGAAGGCGGCUCACUGGCCCGGUACUGACGCUGAGGAGCGAAAGCGUGGGGAGCAAACAGGAUUAGAUACCCUGGUAGUCCACGCCGUAAACGAUGGAUGCUAGCCGUUGGACAGCUUGCUGUUCAGUGGCGCAGUUAACGCUUUAAGCAUCCCGCCUGGGGAGUANCGGUCGCAAGAUUA